This is a non-coding RNA of Labrus bergylta (ballan wrasse), 205 nucleotides long. The record is from RefSeq and is a predicted model, not a curated record. NCBI's taxonomy places the organism in Eukaryota, Metazoa, Chordata, Actinopteri, Labriformes, Labridae.
GGCAGCUGUACAGACUGUGAUCCAUGAGCUGUUUCAUGUGCUGGGUUUCUCUAAAGAGCUCUUCCACACCUGGCGAGACUGUUCCUCCAUGUCUCAAGGGUGUACUUCCUGGCAAAGUGUCCUCACACUGGGAGUCCAGGAUCUUUCAGGGCUCCAUCAUGGCAGCAGAGCUAGCGGACUCAUCUUCAGUCCGGAUCAACCCGGU